GCGGUGGUGGUUCAGAGGCAGAAUUCUCACUUCCACGUGAGAGACCCGGGUUCAAUUCCCAGCCAAGGCA
RNAcentral lists this transfer RNA (70 nucleotides) under Loxodonta africana (African savanna elephant). It matches the Rfam family "tRNA". Rfam says of the family: Transfer RNA (tRNA) molecules are approximately 80 nucleotides in length. Lineage: Eukaryota; Metazoa; Chordata; Mammalia; Proboscidea; Elephantidae. The record is from Rfam by way of RNAcentral.